RNAcentral lists this long non-coding RNA (1112 nucleotides) under Homo sapiens (human). Its description in RNAcentral is "HSALNT0125697". The record is from RNAcentral. Lineage: Eukaryota; Metazoa; Chordata; Mammalia; Primates; Hominidae.
AUCGCUUCCUUUUGUUUUCAAUGCCCCAUCUGAACAAAUUCAUUUGGGUUCACGUGAAUAUGAAACUAACAUCUGAGGGCUCUGGAGACUAAGAUGUGAACAUCAUUGGAGUAUUCUGCCUACUACAGAGGUUAUGAAUUUAACAGAGUAUAAAGAAGGGAAAGAAUAUUCCAAGCAUGUGUUGUUCCAUGAACAACAUACAUAGAGACCCAGGGAAUGACAAGACCAAGGCAAUUAAAAAUAUGUACAGAGGCCAGUAUUCCCUGAGGUUUGAGAAAAAAGAUAAGGAUGGUGAUUUGGAGAUGGGGUCUCCAGAAGAAAUAAAUGUACAAACAAAUUAAAUGAGGUCAUAAUUUUGGCAGAAGAGAUGAAUGGAAAAAAAAGCCACCAAAGUUUUUGCAAUCUAUCCAUCUGACAAUGGUCUAAUAUCCAGAAUCUACAAGGAACUUAAACAAUUUUACAAGACAAAAAAAAACCAUCAAAAAGUGGGCAAAGGAUAUGAACAGACACUUCCCAAAAGAAGACAUUUAUGAAGCCAACAAACAUAUGAAAAAAAACUCAUCAUCACUGGUCAUUAGAGAAAUGCAAAUCAAAACCACAAUGAGAUACCACCUCACACCAGUUAGAAUGGAGAUCAUUAAAAUGUCUGGAAACAACAAAUGCUGGUGAGGAUGAGAAGAAAUAGGGACGCUUUUACACUGUUGGUGGGAGUGUAAAUUAGCUCAACCAUUGUGGAAGACAGUGUGGCGAUUCCUUAAGGAUGUAGAACCAGAAAUACCAUUUGACCCAGCAAUCCCAUUACUGGGUAUAUACCAAAAGGAUUAUAAAUCAUUCUAUAUAAAGACACACGCACACGUAUGUUUAUUCCAGCACAAUUUACAAUAGCAAAGACUUGGAACCCAUCAAUGAUAGACUGGAUACAGGAAAUGUGGCACAUAUACACCAUGGAAUACUAUGCAGCCAUAAAAAGGAAUGAGUUCAUGUCCUUUUUAGGGACAUGGAUGAAGCUGGAAACCAUCAUUCUCAGCAAACUAACACAGAAACAGAAAACCAAACACUGCAUGUUCUCAUUCAUAAGUGGGAAUUGAAAAGGAGAACACAUGAACACAGGG